Molecule: non-coding RNA, 229 nt
Organism: Pelobates cultripes (western spadefoot toad)
Lineage: Eukaryota; Metazoa; Chordata; Amphibia; Anura; Pelobatidae
Source: the annotation of a GenBank genome assembly
CUUAUCUCAUCCUCCAAGCCAAGCUACGGGAAAGGUCAGAAGCUGCCCUACUCACUUUUAUGUUUAUGUUUUGUAUGGAAGAAAAACAAGGGGAGCGAAGAGAAAAAGGAAAAUAACUAAGCAAAGAUGGGAAAAAGUAAGGAAGGAAACAAGGGAAAUAAAUAAAAAAGGGAAGGGAAGGGAAGAGAAAGACGGUACAAGGGAAUGGAAAGGAACAAGGGAAGAGACG